Molecule: ribosomal RNA, 253 nt
Filed under: uncultured bacterium
Lineage: Bacteria
Description: partial 16S ribosomal RNA
Rfam family: Bacterial small subunit ribosomal RNA
Source: RNAcentral
UACGAAGGGGGCUAGCGUUGUUCGGAAUCACUGGGCGUAAAGGGCGCGUAGGCGGCUUUAUAAGUCGGGGGUGAAAGCCUGUGGCUCAACCACAGAAUUGCCUUCGAUACUGUAGAGCUUGAGACCGGAAGAGGUAAGUGGAACUGCGAGUGUAGAGGUGAAAUUCGUAGAUAUUCGCAAGAACACCAGUGGCGAAGGCGGCUUACUGGUCAGGUUCUGACGCUGAGGCGCGACAGCGUGGGGAGCAAACAGG